RNAcentral lists this unclassified non-coding RNA (677 nucleotides) under Hevea brasiliensis (rubber tree). The record is from RNAcentral. Lineage: Eukaryota; Viridiplantae; Streptophyta; Magnoliopsida; Malpighiales; Euphorbiaceae.
GCGUAAGUUUGGUCAUUGGAAUGGUGUGGAUGACAAGUCCUCAGAUGUGGAAUUCUUUGAGUAUGUAGAGGCAGUGAAACUAACAGGGGAUCUCAAUGUUCCUGCUGGCCAGGGAACAUUUCGUGGGAAGUCGCAAUUCUAACCGUGGAAUGUAUCCAGAUGAAUUAGGAGUGGUUGCAAGUUACAAAGGUCAAGGAAGAAUAGCAGAAUUUGGGUUUCGAAAUCCACAAUGGGUUGAUGGUGAACUUCUCCAACUCAAUGGGAAGGGCAUUGGACCAUAUGUCAAAGGUGCAGAUCUUGGUUUCCUUUACGUUAUUCCUGAGCAAAGUUUCCUGGUGUUGUUUAACCGGUUGAAAUUACCAGACUAAACCACUUUUUGUCUCCAUCCUGAUAUGGCAAGAGAUAAAAGAUCUGAUAGUGAGGAGAGUACUUGUGUGUAUUGUUUGUUGAGAAAUGCAGGAGGUUGUAUCCCACAUCGUAAGCCCUUGUACCUUAACAUAUUUUCUUGUAUUUUAUUUUAUUUUUAUGAGGGGGCAUUUUUCCUUGUAUGCCUUCCAUGCAUAAAUUCUUUCCUCCUUGUGUAAAUCUUCUUUGUUAAUUAACCAAACUAAUAAACAUGUAGUGCAUUUGAAGGAUCAUUCAACUGCAGUUUUCUGAGGUGUGGAUGCUUGUUAAGG